This 767-nucleotide long non-coding RNA is filed under the name Gallus gallus (chicken). The record is from RNAcentral. Lineage: Eukaryota; Metazoa; Chordata; Aves; Galliformes; Phasianidae.
ACCGAGCGGAUGAACUGCCCCGGACGGGACUUCUCACUGUGCAGGUUGAAGCCAUAACCACUGGGGCCUUUCUUCAGGUGGCAGAGGCGUGGACACAGCUCUUUCUGUCCGUUUAAAUCCUUCCUGCUGCUGUGGGAGGAGAAGCUGUGUGAGUGCCGCUGCAGGCUGCCUGCGUUCAGCUCCAGCUGUGGCUUCCACACCUCCCCGUUGUCGCUGCCCACUGACUUGGAGGGCGAGAUGCUGGAGCCCAGCAGGAUCCCACUGUGUGCCAUCUCCUCCGUGCAUGUCAGGCGCAGGCUGCACAGGUACUCAUCCGUCUCCUUGUCCACCACCAGCAGGCGGGUCUCUGUCUCCACCGCUUUGAUGCGCUGCACCACCUGGUGGUGCGUUUCCUGCUCCACGUUGAGCCCAUUCACCUCCACGACUCGAUCCCCAGCGCGCAGCCCCGCCGCUUCGGCGGGGGAACCGGGCUCCACUUUGCGGAUGAACUGCCCGCUCUUGCCCUUCUCGCCGUGCAGGUGGAAGCCGUAGCCGUUCUCCCCUUUCAGCAUAUGGCACAGCCGCGGUUUCAGCUGGUCCUUAGCCAUGGCCGGGGCGGGCGGAGGAGCGCGGCGGAACGGAGCGGAGCGGAACGGGGGCGGGCGGCCGCGGGGCCCUUUUAUGCGCGGCGCGGGGCGGGCGCGGGGCGGCGGGGCGCGGAGGGGCGGGCCCGGGCCGGGGCCGCUGUCGGGGCCGGCGUUGGGGUCGGGGCGCUGCGCAGCGCGGCC